GUAGGGGGCUAGCGUUGUCCGGAAUCAUUGGGCGUAAAGCGCGCGUAGGCGGCCCGGUAAGUCCGUUGUGAAAGUCAAAGGCUCAACCUUUGAAAGCCGAUGGAUACUGCCGGGCUAGAGUCCGGAAGAGGCGAGUGGAAUUCCUGGUGUAGCGGUGGAAUGCGCAGAUAUCAGGAGGAACACCGAUAGCGAAGGCAGCUCGCUGGGACGGUACUGACGCUGAGGCGCGAAAGCGUGGGGAGCGAACAGGAUUAGAUACCCUGGUAGUCCACGCCGUAAACGAUGGGCACUAGGUGUGGGAGGUGUCGACUCCUCCCGUGCCGUCGCUAACGCACUAAGUGCCCCGCCUGGGGAGUACGGCCGCAAGGCUAAA
This 373-nucleotide ribosomal RNA is filed under the name uncultured bacterium. Its description in RNAcentral is "bacterial SSU rRNA". It matches the Rfam family "Bacterial small subunit ribosomal RNA", at positions 527 to 898 of the family's 1533-position model. The record is from RNAcentral.